GCGGGGCCGUCCCGAUUUCAAACGGCAGCCAAGAGCCGGUGGCGUGUCUGGGCUCCCGGCCACGGCCUCCGGCGGGAACAGGUUCGGACCUGGCCCCCGCUGCAGAGCGCUGAGGGAGCCUCAAGUUUCUUGCACGGCGCUUAUGACAUCAUGGUACAGAAAUAAGAGUCAAAACUUUGAAAGAACAAAACCACAAAGAGAGAUGUUCUCAUGCUCUAUUCAGCUCGGUGUUAGCUGCUUCUAGUUUCGCUGCAAAGGAUUCAAAUAGUCUCCAGUGAAACGAGAGAAUGCCUGGUGGCUUAAAACCAACAUCAUCUGUGUUUCUGAUUGCGCCACCAAAAGAAAAAUUGUGCAAGGGUCUCGGUGCUCCAUCUUCUUUGAAAAGCUGAGAAAUUAUCUGUGUCUCUUUGAGCAUGUUAAUGUGUGGACCACCAAAGGUGGCGGGAAGUUCUACUCGGCCUUCAGCGAGGAUAAGCUUCUCCUACAUGGCCAUGAGCUCGGAAGGGCUGCUGCUCUACCAGUAGGAGGGGUUGGACGAAGAACAGCAGGCAUCUGGUGCCCGUAAAACAAGCCAAAGCAU
Long non-coding RNA from Calidris pugnax (ruff), 580 nucleotides. RefSeq lists it as uncharacterized. The transcript is spliced from 4 exons. The record is from RefSeq and is a predicted model, not a curated record. NCBI's taxonomy places the organism in Eukaryota, Metazoa, Chordata, Aves, Charadriiformes, Scolopacidae.